RNAcentral lists this ribosomal RNA (492 nucleotides) under uncultured bacterium. RNAcentral describes it as "partial 16S ribosomal RNA". It matches the Rfam family "Bacterial small subunit ribosomal RNA", at positions 29 to 507 of the family's 1533-position model. The record is from RNAcentral.
AGUGAACGCUGGCGGUAGGCCUAACACAUGCAAGUCGAACGGCGGCACAGUAAGAGCUUGCUCUUACGGGUGGCGAGUGGCGGACGGGUGAGGAAUACAUCGGAAUCUACUUUUUCGUGGGGGAUAACGUAGGGAAACUUACGCUAAUACCGCAUACGACCUACGGGUGAAAGCAGGGGAUCUUCGGACCUUGCGCGAUUGAAUGAGCCGAUGUCGGAUUAGCUAGUUGGCGGGGUAAAGGCCCACCAAGGCGACGAUCCGUAGCUGGUCUGAGAGGAUGAUCAGCCACACUGGAACUGAGACACGGUCCAGACUCCUACGGGAGGCAGCAGUGGGGAAUAUUGGACAAUGGGCGCAAGCCUGAUCCAGCCAUACCGCGUGGGUGAUGAAGGCCUUCGGGUUGUAAAGCCCUUUUGUUGGGAAAGAAAAGCAGCAGGUUAAUACCCCGCUGUUCUGACGGUACCCAAAGAAUAAGCACCGGCUAACUUCGUG